This 239-nucleotide long non-coding RNA is filed under the name Nicotiana benthamiana. RNAcentral describes it as "long non-coding RNA (NBEN_LNC024857)". The record is from RNAcentral. Lineage: Eukaryota; Viridiplantae; Streptophyta; Magnoliopsida; Solanales; Solanaceae.
AUAGGAAAGUGUGGAGGUCUAAUAUCAGGGUUGUAGUAUAGGGGCCCCUAGAGUUUUUCGUACUACUCACCCGGGGUUGGGUGAGACUUGACAGGGCUAUCCAUAGAUGCUUUGUGUUUUGGAUUGUGUCUCCCUUAUGGUAGUUAUUUAUGGUAGUUACUGUAUGAUAUUAUUGCAUGCUAUCUAUUUAUGGUUCUUAUGUUUAGUUAGUUACUUAUGCUAUUUCUGCUGGACUUACU